RNAcentral lists this long non-coding RNA (672 nucleotides) under Homo sapiens (human). Its description in RNAcentral is "HSALNT0206639". The record is from RNAcentral. Lineage: Eukaryota; Metazoa; Chordata; Mammalia; Primates; Hominidae.
CUGAGCUUGGUGUUGGGGCUGCGCUUGGGCUUUCGAGGAGGAAUCUUCUUCAUGGUGCUGUAGUCGUCGCUGUGCGGUCUGGGCCGGGCCAGAGCUGCGGCAGGAAAGGACGCGGCUCCCUGGCUGAACCCGAACUCCUGAGACCACCCCCAAGAAAAGAGAGUUUUGAUCUUGGAGAUGGAAGAAGACUCCCACCCUCUGAGGAGGUUGUCCAGUGGAACGUCAAGGGGUUCCAGUGAGGAAGGAGACCACCACUUCUGCUGCUACCCACCCACCCCCCUUGCCUAGUUUAUAAGACAGGAGAAAAAGGAGAAAGCAAAAAGUUAAAAAGAAACAAAAGUAAAAUAAAUAGCCAGACGACCUUGGUGCCACCACCCGGCUCUGGUGGUUAAAAUAAUAAUAAUAAUAAUAUCAACCCCCGACCUAAACUACUUGUGUUAUCUGUAAAUUCCAGACUUUGUAUGAAGAAGCAUUGUAAAAUUUUCUGUUCUGUUAGCUGAUGCAUGUAACCCCAGUCACGUUCCCCACCCUUGCUCUAUCUAUUACGACCCUUUCACGUAGACCCCUUAAACUUGUAAGCCCUUAAAAGGGCCAAGAAUUUCUUUUUCGGAGAGCUCAGCUCUUAAGACGCAAGUCUGCAGAAGCUCCCGGCCGAAUAAAGCCACUUCCUUC